Molecule: ribosomal RNA, 486 nt
Filed under: uncultured bacterium
Lineage: Bacteria
Description: bacterial SSU rRNA
Rfam family: Bacterial small subunit ribosomal RNA
Source: RNAcentral
UGAACGCUAGCUACAGGCUUAACACAUGCAAGUCGAGGGGCAGCGCAGUGUAGCAAUACAUGGGCGGCGACCGGCGCACGGGUGCGUAACGCGUAUCCAAUCUUCCCGUUACUCAGGGAUAGCCUUUCCGAAAAGGGGAGAUUAAUACCUGAUGGUGUUCAAAUUCCGCAUGUUAUUUGAACUAAAGAUUUAUCGGUAACGGAUGGGGAUGCGUGACAUUAGGUAGAUGGCGGGGUAACGGCCCACCAUGCCCACGAUGUCUAGGGGUUCUGAGAGGAAGGUCCCCCACACUGGAACUGAGACACGGUCCAGACUCCUACGGGAGGCAGCAGUGAGGAAUAUUGGUCAAUGGUCGAGAGACUGAACCAGCCAUGCCGCGUGAAGGUCACGGCCCUAUGGGUCUUAAACUUCUUUUGCAAGGGAGCAAUAAGUCCCACGUGUGGGAUGAUGAGAGUACCUUGCGAAUAAGCAUCGGCUAACUCCGUG